UUUGAAACAUUUCUUAAUUAUGCAGGUAAUUUAUUAAUUACCGGGUAACGGGACAUUACCUAAUUGCCUAAUAACUGGAUAAAGAUUAAACUUUCCACCCCAUCCCCAUGUGGCAGCCCCCUCACCUUCUAAUAAUGACUCAUUAGUCAUUUAAAAAGAUGUCACAUGUUAGAGAACACAACAAAAUAUGAAGUCAAUCUUUUCGUUUGGAUGGUGACCUAGAAUGCUAUAUAUAACGGGCUGAGAAAUUAAUGAGGCAUCACAUAUCAGUUGGGACUUCAUGAGCAAAGAAAUGAGGGAGGGAGUAUUAUUUUAAAGUUCCAUGUAAAGUGAUGGUCCAUGCUUUGGGUAUCAUUGUCAAGUACAUAACCAAGUGUUAAUAAGUUAGGGGUCCCCUUUCUGCUGUUGCUCCUUUCAUAUUAUUUUUAGAGAAAUUUUUUUCUAAUUCAACUAGUCACUAUUUGAAGUAGCUAUGGAACCUAAAUGAUUGUCUUUAAGUUGGCUAAUGACAACACUAUUAGGUACAUGGGCAACUCAGUGCCAUGUUUCUGCACCUGUAGAUAGUGAAACCAACAGCUUGGAUGAGCUGUUGUAGGACCUAUUAGUGUAACUUAUGCAUUAUAUUUGGGUAAAGCUUAAUAGCUCUUCUCCCCCCCACCCCCUCCAUCUUAAACUUAUAAAAGUCAAUACUACGUUUGAUUGGGGAGAGAAGAGGAGGAAUCAGGUAUUUGGUGGAGUAGAAACUGUAAAUGAAGGCUAGAAUUUUGCAGAGCCUUCAAUUGUCGUCAUGGAUUAAUUCGGAUAAGGUAGUAAGGAAACCCGGUGGUUUCUUGCGUUUCUUUGUGAAAUGGAAUGAAAAACUGAGGCAUCGUACAAUCAUAUCCUACCAUUUACAGCCUAGAAAAGCUAAUAGACGAGUAGCAUUGAAGGUUUCAUGUUCUUCUCAUAAUGUUCAAGGACUUGAUGUAAUCUUUCUCAAGAGAAUCGGCCUAGGUAUAGAUAAUUAGUUGACGAGCCCUUAUAGUAGACGAGAUUGGCAUUCAGCAAAGGAUCGGUAAGACUCUACCUCAUUCGGAGUACAACCGAGUGUGCAAGUCAUCGUGUCUGACUUUUCAGACUUAUGGGUAGGCCGGUACCCUAUCCUAUUUUAUGUCAAAUAAUAUUAGAGACUUUGUAGACACUGGUUUAAUAUGCACGGUAUGUUAAAGCCUUGACAGCCCAUAUGUAUUCAUGUUUUAUGAACGAUGGUUCAUUGAUAUAACAUUAGCCCACUUAUAGUUA
Non-coding RNA from Nicotiana tabacum (common tobacco), 1281 nucleotides. The record is from RefSeq and is a predicted model, not a curated record. Lineage: Eukaryota; Viridiplantae; Streptophyta; Magnoliopsida; Solanales; Solanaceae.